This 497-nucleotide ribosomal RNA is filed under the name uncultured bacterium. RNAcentral's name for it is "partial 16S ribosomal RNA". It matches the Rfam family "Bacterial small subunit ribosomal RNA", at positions 28 to 507 of the family's 1533-position model. The record is from RNAcentral.
GACGAACGCUGGCGGCGUGCCUAAUACAUGCAAGUUGAGCGAUGAAGAUUGGUGCUUGCACCCAUUUGAAGAGCAGCGAACGGGUGAGUAACGCGUGGGGAAUCUGCCUUUGAGCGGGGGACAACAUUUGGAAACGAAUGCUAAUACCGCAUAAUAACUUUAAACAUAAGUUUUAAGUUUGAAAGAUGCAAUUGCAUCACUCAAAGAUGAUCCCGCGUUGUAUUAGCUAGUUGGUGAGGUAAAGGCUCACCAAGGCGAUGAUACAUAGCCGACCUGAGAGGGUGAUCGGCCACAUUGGGACUGAGACACGGCCCAAACGCCUACGGGAGGCAGCAGUAGGGAAUCUUCGGCAAUGGACGAAAGUCUGACCGAGCAACGCCGCGUGAGUGAAGAAGGUUUUCGGAUCGUAAAACUCUGUUGGUAGAGAAGAACGUUGGUGAGAGUGGAAAGCUCAUCAAGUGACGGUAACUACCCAGAAAGGGACGGCUAACUACGUG